RNAcentral lists this ribosomal RNA (506 nucleotides) under uncultured bacterium. RNAcentral describes it as "partial 16S ribosomal RNA". It matches the Rfam family "Bacterial small subunit ribosomal RNA", at positions 29 to 523 of the family's 1533-position model. The record is from RNAcentral.
AGUGAACGCUGGCGGUAGGCCUAACACAUGCAAGUCGAACGGCAGCACAGGAGAGCUUGCUCUCUGGGUGGCGAGUGGCGGACGGGUGAGGAAUACAUCGGAAUCUACUCUGUCGUGGGGGAUAACGUAGGGAAACUUACGCUAAUACCGCAUACGACCUACGGGUGAAAGCAGGGGAUCUUCGGACCUUGCGCGAUUGAAUGAGCCGAUGUCGGAUUAGCUAGUUGGCGGGGUAAAGGCCCACCAAGGCGACGAUCCGUAGCUGGACUGAGAAGAUGAUCAGCAACGCUGGAACUGAGACACGGUCCAGACUCCUACGGGAGGCAGCAGUGGGGAAUAUUGGACAAUGGGCGCAAGCCUGAUCCAGCCAUACCGCGUGGGUGAAGAAGGCCUUCGGGUUGUAAAGCCCUUUUGUUGGGAAAGAAAUCCAGCUGGCUAAUACCCGGUUGGGAUGACGGUACCCAAAGAAUAAGCACCGGCUAACUUCGUGCCAGCCGCCGCAGUAA